AGGCUAUCUAGUUCAUCGACUCGAACUCAUCAUCUCAAGGAUCUCCCACAUAACAGGUAUAUUACAGUAAUCACAUUUGAUACACACACAUUGGAGAUAGAGCGGAAGACUUUUACAAAGUACACUUUACAUUCCAGAACUCAAGUUUUACAUGGUAGAAUGAGAUGUAUUUAUUACAAGUCCUCAUAGUACUCGAAGUGCAUAACUUAUUACAAUAAUUGGAAGGGUGAAGCCUUUUCAUAAGAGAUAUAUAAAAACCUUCUAAGCUUCAAGUCCUCCACAUGAAGUAACUAAUCCAAAGAUAAGGGAAUAAAACUUCUCCUACAAAAACAACAAGGGAUAAAACCCUGAGUACGCAAUUACUCAGCAAGACUUACCCGACUAAAGAAAAGACUCUCAAGGGUAUGUUGGCUUUUGGGAAUCAAGGUAAAGCUCAUCAAAGUUCAAAGACUCAUUUUGCAGAAAAGCUUACUAAAAGUGGGUCCUUAAGCCAAGUUUUAUUUCACAAGUUAGUUUAUUACCUGAAUCUUCUAGCCUGAAUCUAGCAUUUUCCUAAUCUAGAUCAUUCACUUGACCUACACUAGGUUGCUUUUAAAAUCCAAAUUUUGUUUUGCUUGUUAUCUACGAUGAAGGGCAGCGAUCCAGUCUUCAUAUCCGAGAAGUAACGGCGAUCCGAAUCGAUUAAUACCCAGCUGGGGAUCUCCAACCACACGAUAUAUGUAGCACUUAACCCUUGCAUAUGUCAACCAUCCCCACGGAUCCUCCACUACAUGAACUGGUCCGCGCUACCCGGGAGCACAUUACCCUAACAUUCAGCUUCUUGCUAGGAGGGUAACUGCUACUCCCACCAUCUCCCACGCCCAGUGCGCGGUUGUCUUUUCACGUAUGGAAUAGCCGGGUUCAGGCUUACCCAUGACGAGGUAUGUGGCCAGUUAAAAGGUCCUAGAUCAUCAGGCCAACAAUCGGUACGGUCCUUAAUCGACACAGACGGACGACCUUUCCUGCUCAGCGUCUGGUCCCAUUUUAAACUAUUUCAAAAUUUUGGCGCCUGACAGAGGGGCCAUGCCAGGAUAAUGAAUUUAUCAACGUCUUGAUGCCUUCAUUAUCCCAAGCCCAUUUUCUUGUUUGUAAAAACAUGAGUCAUAGAUCAAAAACAUUUUUCUUAGUCUAUCAGCAUGACUAAGCAUCUCUAGCUUUUAUAAAACAGGUGACAAGGUAUGGUAAUCAAUCUUUCAAGGAUGGUAAUGCAUCAAGUGUUUAAUCAAUCAACUCCUAUUACCUAAUGCAACAUAUAAGUGAUAAAAUUUUGUAAACACAAGGGAGGUGGCAAAUGCACCGGGGCUUGCCUUAUUGUAGUGAAGAGGUUCUAGAUCUUCUACCCAAUAACCAGUUAGAUAGCUCCAUCCACUUGAUGAACAAGCACUGGAGCAAACUCCUCUUCCACAACCACUUCAUCUUUAAUUUACACUCCUUCUGCUGGGAGCUCUACAUGAAAUGAUAUGAACAUGAAUGCUUAUGCUUCUUGCAAAUAAAAUACUAUAAAACAUCACAAGACUAUACUUCCUCUCAAAGGUGUAACCAAACACAAAACAAAGGAUUUACUAGCACAAAGACUCUAAAUACUCUAAUAACAUAACCAAACUCUUCAACCAUGCAAGGGAACCAUGUCUCUAUAUCCAAGUAUUCCACCAAUACCUUAAGCAAGGAUCUAACUCUCUUACAUUGAACCCUACAAGCUAUGGCUAUCAAGAGACUAGAACACACAAAGCCCCAAAGUAAGGAGAAAAACACUGGACCAAAGUGACAGUAACUGAAGCUGGUCUGCAUUGCACAUGUCUGACAGAGCUAGUUAGGACACCAUAAACUUCCAAACUUAUAUAGUACCAAGCCAAGCUUCCACAAGUAAACUUGCUUACUAAUACUUGGUCUCCAAUUUUGCUACACAAAAUAUAUCUCCUAACUGCAUAGAACAACCCCAAGGAAACUCCAAUGUUGAGCCAACAUACUGAAAUGUCCAAUUUCAGAGGUCUGGAAUAGCCUAACAUCAACCUGGCAGCCUAACUUUGAGCAAGAUUUACACCUAGUUCUAUAUAGCUCUAAGGUCAAAUAGCUUAAUCAAGUUUGUGCUCCUAGAACAGAUAUACAAGGUUGCUAUAAUGAUCAACAACUAAAGACUCAUGGAUUCAAUGCUAUAAUGCUUCAAGUUGACACCAUUCAUUGCAACUAGUUUCAGUUAACUGAAACAAACACCCAUUAAGUCCGUCGGAAGGAUUUGUAACCUCAUUUACUCUAAUUUUCACAUAAGAACAAAUCCAACACUUUAUAUGAAACUUGUUCUCCUUCAAAUGGUCUUUGACUGUGCUAUAAGAUUCUUAGUCCAAAACCUUGUGGACUGAUCACAAAGUUGCUCCAAACUGGGCACUAAAUACUAAAAUUUCAGUUGGAGUUAACUGAAUUCAGUUUAGAGAAAAAUAAGCCUGACAGCACACCUUUAGGCACUAAUUAUUCCUAGCUCUAAGUAGUGUCAAGGGCAUAAUCCUCACCAAACUUUACUACCCUAACACUGGUCUUCAAGUUUUCUAUAGCAACUAUGGUCUAAAACUACUCAGAUUGGUCACAAACACUUCCAAACUGAGCACCCAACAUUGCAAUUUCAGGUUUCAGUUCUGAAUAAAAAUUGAGUCCAACAAACCUGACAGUCCAAGUUCUCGGUGGGUACAUGAAACUGCUUGGGGAAGACGUACGUUGGCUGGUCGACGAUGAAACUAAACACGGCGAUGAAUUGUGGUGGCACGACUACGUUCUGGCCACUGUGAGGUGAAGGGGCUGGUGGCCGAGGUCACUACACAGGAGGACGAUGUCGAGCAUCUGUCUUGAACAAAGCAACUGGGCGACAGGAGUGGCUGGAGAAGUUAACACAUGUAUAGAAGAAUGGUGAGGCACAGUGAGCAGGUCAUGGAAGCAACGGGAGCACCACAAGUUUCAGUUCUAGGCUUCAACUGUCAUGGCAAGCAAUGGGCUAUUUGUGGCUUUACUAGGACUUAUCGCAGGGGAAAACAAAACUAAUAUACUCCACCUCUGACCUCCCCACUGCAUGACCACCACGCAAGGGCAAGGCACAGUGGAACAGCAGUGGUGGCCAAAACUCCCAGGGACAACACACCACCAAGCAGACAGACAGCUAACACAUAGGAUAGAGUUCACAUCUUCAAUCCUAUCCUUGGGGUGAUAAGGCUGUGCCAAGUUACCUGUCCCCCCAGCACAUUUCUUUCUUAUCCUCAGUUUCCCCUAGAAGUACAUGGAGUCCGUAGUGGCCAGUGAUAUUUUCUUCAGAUAUUUUUACUCCACCCUGAACUGCUACUGCUCGACAGCCCAUCCAGAUUCUUCCCCUCUGUCCACUGCUCCACAACAGUACGAAUUUGGAUAUUUCCCGUGGGGAGAGCAGCCACUAGCACCUAGGCUAAGCACUUCCCCCUUAUCUUCAUUUAUUAAAACUACAAGUGAAAUCACAGGGAGACGAGAUUCUUCUUUAGUUUUCCCCAAUUCAGACUCUGGUUCACUGAAACAGCACUCAUUUCUCCAUUGCACCCUCCCUGUUCAGGCCCUCUGAUCUACCAAUUCUUCGCAGCAACAGACCACUCUCCCUUAACCAAAAUUAUUCUCUACUUGUAGCUCUACCUAUUUUAUAUAGCAACGCAUGACUAAAAACAUAUAGAACAAAAGUUAUGGUACCCCAAAGUACAGCCAAUGUCACUGAAAAAUCAGUUUCAAAAAUCUGAAACAGCACAAUACUGAGUCUGAUAGAGGGUUUUGCAGCAGGCUAUUCUCUAAAUUCCAUACAGAAGCAAGCCCACUCUUUGAACAAAACUUGUUCAUCUACAUCUGGUAUCUCAUUUUGCUACUGAUUUUUAACCCAAAUCUCUUUUGGAUUUAUUACCACAAGGCCCCAAAGUUGGGUAAAAACACACAUAUUCAGACUUAAAUAUUAUUCAAAGUCUGAAUCCCAACACCUGACAGUCCACCUUUUGACCACUUUUACUCCCAAAUUUAUGUGGAACCAGGUCAAUCUCACUUUAUCAAACUUGUUCACUUUACCAUGGUCUACAACUUUUCUAUGGAACCCAUAGUCUAAAUCUACAUGAAUCAGUCACAAAUGGGCUCCAAACUCAGCAUAUUUCACUGCAAUUCAGUUUUCAAUAACUGAAUAUAAUUCAGUUUCAGCCACAACACAGUCCCACUUUAAGCAGUUGUUACUCCAAUUCUUGUAUGGGAUCAUGUCCAUCACCCUUUAAGGAAGUUGUUCCCCAAUAUAUGGUAUUUAAUUCCUCUACAAGCACCACAGUCUAAAAUCUUAUAGAACAGCCAUAAACCAACUCCAAAGCUGCACUAAAAAUGCUGAUUUCAGACUUUCAGUUCUGAAUAAACUAAGUCAACAACAAUCUGAUAAUCCAACUUUGGCAAAGUUUUUCUCCACUUUUUGUAUAGGAUCCUUCCAAAAACACUUAAAGAAAGUUGUUCACCAUGAUCUGGUCUUCACUUCCUCUAUAUAAACCACAAUCCAAAACCUUAUAGAACAGACACCAAUAGGCUCCAAAACAGCACUCACAACACUAAAUUCCAGGUUCAGACUACUGUUUUAAGUCUGAAAACUGGGAAAUCUGUCAAUCAAUAUUUGGGCUAUCUUUUCUACCAGUAGCAUGUAGUUUUGGGAUAUAUCACUUAAUAAGAAUUGUUCUCCUCUCAUUACUCUAAAAGUUUGGUAUAGUCUUCAUUAGCCAAAACCUCUUGGAUCCCAAACUACAAUAACCCAAAGUUUGCUCCAAAUGCUGAAAUUCAGACUCUGAAUUUCACUAAGUCUGAAAUCUAUAUUUUCUAACAGCUCUUCUUUAGACCAGUUCUUCUCCAAAUUCCAUAUAGAUUUAAGUCUAGGUGACUUAAUCAAAGUCACACUCCUCACAUAGCUCUAUAACUUUGUUACAAUGACCACCUUCAAAAUGUUUAUAGAUCAGAAGUUAUAAAGGACCAAAGUUGACUAGUUGAUAUGAUUUUCAGAAAUCCUAAUCUGAACCCAAACUGAACUUUUGUGAAUCACUCCAAAUUUAUCUAUAAAACAUGGAAACCUCCAAAUAAGAAAUUAUUCACUUUUCCAAGCUCCACAACUUUGAUAUAUGGACUUUUGCCAAAUUAUUUCUAGAUUUUGAAUUCCACUUUUGGGCUAGUUUUAGGGUUUCAAAUGAGUUUCAUUUGUGUUUCAGCUUCUUCCAUGGAUUCAUCUCUUUAAUCCAUCCAUCAAAACAAAGUUACUCUCUAGUCUAAGAUCCAACUUUAGUAUAUGCAGCUCAUUCCCAACCAGUCCUCGGUUUAGGAAUUAUUUUGUUUAUCCAUAAUUCCAAGCAAGUUUUUCAACCUAAGUCCUAUACUCAACACACAACAUCACACUUUUGAAUCGAAAAUUUUAACCUAGUAAAUGCAUUCUAGGUGUAACAAGCAAGUUAAUGCAAAUGCUUAUGAUGACAUGUCAGAGUUUUAGUUCACGUAACACCAGGGGUGUUACAGCCUUCCCCCCUAAGAAGAAAUCUCGUCCCGAGAUUUAAAAGUCUAGGCUUAGUAAUGGAAAAGGAAAUGCGUCACCGGUUUAUUUCCUAGUUACUCCUACAAGGCAGGGGGUGUGCCCCCAUUGGUUUAUACCAAAGACAACUUAUACAAAUCUAGGGUUUACAAGACACUAGGAACUCAGGAAUAUACUUUUCCAAAUACUUCUCUGACUACUACAUGGCUUUAUCUUCCGGGUGUUAGUUCUACUGUAUCUCGUAAAACUCGAUAACUUUUCUUCGAGUGACCUGAUCCUUUUGAUCUAACAGAUUUAUGGGAUAUUCCGAGGAGGUUAAACCUGGUUUAUGGUUAACAUAUAAAAUCUCAAUAACAUAUUUGGGGACUCGAAGACACUUCUUCCAUUGGGACACGUGGAACACGUCGUGCACUGUUGAAGGUCCUUUUGUAACUGUACCUUAUAAGCUAUAGGUCCACCAAAAUCUCUGUUUCAAACCUUGGUACCUAUUGCUACCUUUAGGGUGAAUGGAGUCCCGGACUGCAACCCAAUCGCAAUUCCACAUCCCUUUCUGGAGGCAACUAGUCAAAUCUUUGAGGAACACAUCCGAGAACUCCCUCACAUCAGGUAUAUCCUUUACUUCUUUUACUUAAACUACUGAUGUAGACGAAUCUUAUUAUUUCCUAGAAUAGCCUCACUGACCAUCUCCUUAUAUCCUUCAACCAAACUAAUUGCCAUCAGGAGCUAAAGUUUCACAUUAAGAUCACGUAGGAUGUAUUACUUUUUUUUCACUGGCAUCCACAUAAUCCAAAACAUACUGGGAUAGGCGAGUAAACCUCUCAAAUAGUCCAUUACACUCGCUUCUUCACCUUGCUUUAGAUCCAAAAACACUUUGAACUUUAUUUAUAUAGGGGCUUAUGGAACAUGACGUGCCCGAAAUACCUCACAGAAUUCAACCCGAGAACUUAAAGUCCUUCUGGCUGCAGCGCAAGGUAUUCUGCCCACCAACUAAACGUGGCUUCCAGUCUUCAAAAACAAGGAAAGGUAGCAUAGAAAGGUAAAGACAAACAACAUAAACAGGGUAGACGAAACACGUACUAAAGCUACUACAUAGGGUGUUUAACUUAAAGUUAUAUGUCAUGAUGCAUGCUCGUCCUAUUCGUCCUCACAAUCUUGCUAGCAUAUAGUGGCUUGCACGCUCUAUGGCGGUGGCAUACCUACUCACUCCGGAGUUAACUAGUCGUAAUUUCCUAGAGUUUAGUCAGUGUACCUGCAGAAAAUUCCAUUACAGCCCAAACCCCAUGAUGCAAUUCACACAUUUGGUCACAGUUUAUACUCCAUAUAUUUCUAUAUGGAGGCCAGCUCCUCAUUAAGCGCCGAGCCACGCAUAGGCGCCGCUGCCACACUUUUAACCACAGGGCAGCCCAUUGUGGUAACUUACCUUCUUACCUGCGCGUAGGUGCGUCGUUGCGAGUACAUUACACUUCUCAGUAUUCUCAUGUCUAUAUAGCCAUACACAUCCAUGGGGUACUGAAUCCCGGAAAAGUAAUUACUCCACAUCGCAGCCUUCAUAUAUACAUAUGUGGAACAUGUAUAUAAUCAAGCGCCACAAUUAAGCACUCCCCUAGACCGACGUUUGUUCGGUCAUGCUCUCACAACUCACCUUGACCUGAGCGUCGAUCCAUUCAAAACUGAAUGGCACUAAAAAUAACAUUACACAUGUAUGCAUUACCCUUCCCAGGUUGUGGGUUAGUGGUUAGCAUCUUAAACUAGGCCACCUUAUAGUCCUUAGUUUUAACCACAUAUUAUUUGCACUUCUACUAUCAGGCCUUGAUUAUAGAUUCUUAAGUUUAUAAAAAUCAUUUUGAAGUUUAUUAAAGGAUUACUUUAAUAUCCAUGCUAAUGGGGGAUCGCUCCGAUACCACGCUGUGACAGCCCUCCCAAGUUAUCAGGCCCACAUGCACCAACCCUUGCCAUUAACGGCCUCAUAUGGUCGUGCACGUGUACCGGGUAACUUAACAAGGCUAUCGAGUUCAUCGACUCGAACUCAUCAUCCCAAGGAUCUCCCACAUAACAGGUAUAUUACAGUAAUCACAUUUGAUACACACACAUUGGAGAUAGAGCGGAAGACUUUUACAAAGUACACUUUACAUUCCAGAACUCAAGUUUUACAUGGUAGAAUGAGAUGUAUUUAUUACAAGUCCUGAUAGUACUCGAAGUGCAUAACUUAUUACAAUAAUUGGAAGGGUGAAUCCUUUUCAUAAGAGAUAUAUAAAAACCUUCUAAGCUUCAAGUCCUCCACAUGAAGUAACUAACCCAAAGAUAAGGGAAUAAAACUUCUCCUACAAAAACAACAAGGGAUAAAACCCUGAGUACGCAAUUACUCAGCAAGACUUACCCGACUAAAGAAAAGACUCUCAAGGGUAUGUUGGCUUUUGGGAAUCAAGGUAAAGCUCAUCAAAGUUCAAGGACUCAUUUUGCAGAAAAGCUUACUAGAAGUGGGUCCUUAAGCCAAGUUUUAUUUCACAAGUUAGUUUAUUACCUGAAUCUUCUAGCCUGAAUCUAGCAUUUUCCUAAUCUAGAUCAUUCACUUGACCUACACUAGGUUGCUUUUAAAAUCCAAAUUUUGUUUUGCUUGUUAUCUACGAUGAAGGGCAGCGAUCCAGUCUUCAUAUCCGAGAAGUAACGGCGAUCCGAAUCGAUUAAUACCCAGCUGGGGAUCUCCAACCACACGACAUAUGUAGCAUUUAACCCUUGCAUAUGUCAACCAUUCCCACGGAUCCUCCACUACAUGAACUGGUCCACGCUACCCGGGAGCACAUUACCCUAACAUUCAGCUUCUUGCCAGGAGGGUAACUGCUACUCCCACCAUCUCCCACGCCCAGUGCGCGGUUGUCUUUUCACGUAUGGAAUAGCCGGGUUCAGGCUUACCCAUGACGAGGUAUGUGGCCAGUUAAAAGGUCCUAGAUCAUCAGGCCAACAAUCGGUACGGUCCUUAAUCGACACAGACGGGCGACCUUUCCUGCUCAUCGUCUGGUCCCAUUUUAAACUAUUUCAAAAUUUUGGCGCCUGACAGAGGGGCCAUGCCUGGAUAAUGAAUUUAUCAACGUCUUGAUGCCUUCAUUAUCCCAAGCCCAUUUUCUUGUUUGUAAAAACAUGAGUCAUAGAUCAAAAACAUUUUUCUUAGUCUAUCAGCAUGACUAAGCAUCUCUAGCUUUUAUAAAACAGGUGACAAGGUAUGGUAAUCAAUCUUUCAAGGAUGGUAAUGCAUCAAGUGUUUAAUCAAUCAACUCCUAUUACCUAAUGCAACAUAUAAGUGAUAAAAUUUUGUAAACACAAGGGAGGUGGCAAAUGCACCGGGGCUUGCCUUAUUGUAGUGAAGAGAUUCUAGAUCUUCUACCCAAUAACCAGUUAGAUAGCUCCAUCCACUUGAUGAACAAGCACUGGAACAAACUCCUCUUCCACAACCACUUCAUCUUUAAUUUACACUCCUUCUGCUGGGAGCUCUACAUGAAAUGAUAUGAACAUGAAUGCUUAUGCUUCUUGCAAAUAAAAUACUAUAAAACAUCACAAGACUAUACUUCCUCUCAAAGGUGUAACCAAACACAAAACAAAGGAUUUACUAGCACAAAGACUCUAAAUACUCUAAUAACAUAACCAAACUCUUCAACCAUGCAAGGGAACCAUGUCUCUAUAUCCAAGUAUUCCACCAAUACCUUAAGCAAGGAUCUAACUCUCUUACAUUGAACCCUACAAGCUAUGGCUAUCAAGAGACUAGAACACACAAAGCCCCAAAGUAAGGAGAAAAACACUGGACCAAAGUGACAGUAACUGAAGCUGGUCUGCAUUGCACAUGUCUGACAGAGCUAGUUAGGACACCAUAAACUUCCAAACUUAUAUAGUACCAAGCCAAGCUUCCACAAGUAAACUUGCUUACUAAUACUUGGUCUCCAAUUUUGCUACACAAAAUAUAUCUCCUAACUGCACAGAACAACCCCAAGGAAACUCCAAUGUUGAGCCAACAUACUGAAAUGUCCAAUUUCAGAGGUCUGGAAUAGCCUAACAUCAACCUGGCAGCCUAACUUUGAGCAAGAUUUACACCUAGUUCUAUAUAGCUCUAAGGUCAAAUAGCUUAAUCAAGUUUGUGCUCCUAGAACAGAUAUACAAGGUUGCUAUAAUGAUCAACAACUAAAGACUCAUGGAUUCAAUGCUAUAAUGCUUCAAGUUGACACCAUUCAUUGCAACUAGUUUCAGUUAACUGAAACAAACACCCAUUAAGUCCGUCGGAAGGAUUUGUAACCUCAUUUACUCUAAUUUUCACAUAAGAACAAAUCCAACACUUUAUAUGAAACUUGUUCUCCUUCAAAUGGUCUUUGACUGUGCUAUAAGAUUCUUAGUCCAAAACCUUGUGGACUGAUCACAAAGUUGCUCCAAACUGGGCACUAAAUACUAAAAUUUCAGUUGGAGUUAACUGAAUUCAGUUUAGAGAAAAAUAAGCCUGACAGCACACCUUUAGGCACUAAUUAUUCCUAGCUCUAAGUAGUGUCAAGGGCAUAAUCCUCACCAAACUUUACUACCCUAACACUGGUCUUCAAGUUUUCUAUAGCAACUAUGGUCUAAAACUACUCAGAUUGGUCACAAACACUUCCAAACUGAGCACCCAACAUUGCAAUUUCAGGUUUCAGUUCUGAAUAAAAAUUGAGUCCAACAAACCUGACAGUCCAAGUUCUCGGUGGGUACAUGAAACUGCUUGGGAAAGACGUACGUUGGCUGGUCGACGAUGAAACUAAACACGGCGAUGAAUUGUGGUGGCACGACUACGUUCUGGCCACUGUGAGGUGAAGGGGCUGGUGGCCGAGGUCACUACACAGGAGGACGAUGUCGAGCAUCUGUCUUGAACAAAGCAACUGGGCGACAGGAGUGGCUGGAGAAGUUAACACAUGUAUAGAAGAAUGGUGAGGCACAGUGAGCAGGUCAUGGAAGCAACGAGAGCACCACAAGUUUCAGUUCUAGGCUUCAACUGUCAUGGCAAGCAAUGGGCUAUUUGUGGCUUUACUAGGACUUAUCGCAGGGGAAAACAAAACUAAUAUACUCCACCUCUGAC
This 10652-nucleotide long non-coding RNA is filed under the name Zea mays. RNAcentral describes it as "long non-coding RNA (ZMAY_LNC004772)". Lineage: Eukaryota; Viridiplantae; Streptophyta; Magnoliopsida; Poales; Poaceae. The record is from RNAcentral.